Molecule: ribosomal RNA, 589 nt
Filed under: Escherichia coli
Lineage: Bacteria; Pseudomonadati; Pseudomonadota; Gammaproteobacteria; Enterobacterales; Enterobacteriaceae
Description: partial 23S ribosomal RNA
Rfam family: Bacterial large subunit ribosomal RNA
Source: RNAcentral
UAACGUCCGUCGUGAAGAGGGAAACAACCCAGACCGCCAGCUAAGGUCCCAAAGUCAUGGUUAAGUGGGAAACGAUGUGGGAAGGCCCAGACAGCCAGGAUGUUGGCUUAGAAGCAGCCAUCAUUUAAAGAAAGCGUAAUAGCUCACUGGUCGAGUCGGCCUGCGCGGAAGAUGUAACGGGGCUAAACCAUGCACCGAAGCUGCGGCAGCGACGCUUAUGCGUUGUUGGGUAGGGGAGCGUUCUGUAAGCCUGUGAAGGUGUGCUGUGAGGCAUGCUGGAGGUAUCAGAAGUGCGAAUGCUGACAUAAGUAACGAUAAAGCGGGUGAAAAGCCCGCUCGCCGGAAGACCAAGGGUUCCUGUCCAACGUUAAUCGGGGCAGGGUGAGUCGACCCCUAAGGCGAGGCCGAAAGGCGUAGUCGAUGGGAAACAGGUUAAUAUUCCUGUACUUGGUGUUACUGCGAAGGGGGGACGGAGAAGGCUAUGUUGGCCGGGCGACGGUUGUCCCGGUUUAAGCGUGUAGGCUGGUUUUCCAGGCAAAUCCGGAAAAUCAAGGCUGAGGCGUGAUGACGAGGCACUACGGUGCUGAAG